Molecule: ribosomal RNA, 762 nt
Filed under: fungal sp.
Lineage: Eukaryota; Fungi
Description: eukaryotic LSU rRNA
Rfam family: Eukaryotic large subunit ribosomal RNA (bases 503-762)
Source: RNAcentral
CGGAGGGUCAUUACCGAGUUAUUCAACUCCCAAACCCCCUGUGAACCUUACCACACACGUUGCCUCGGCGGGACCGCCCCGGCGCCCUCGCGGCCCGGACCAAGGCGCCCGCCGGAGGACCACCAGACUCUCCUGUCGCAGUGGCAUUUCUCUCCGAGUCAAACAAGCAAAAUGAAUCAAAACUUUCAACAACGGAUCUCUUGGUUCUGGCAUCGAUGAAGAACGCAGCGAAAUGCGAUAAGUAAUGUGAAUUGCAGAAUUCAGUGAAUCAUCGAAUCUUUGAACGCACAUUGCGCCCGCCAGUACUCUGGCGGGCAUGCCUGUCCGAGCGUCAUUUCAACCCUCGAGCCCGUCUCGGUGUUGGGGGCCCCACGGCCGCGAGGCCGCCCCCGAAAUGCAUUGGCGACCCCGCCGCGGCCUCCCCUGCGCAGUAGCUCCCAGAGAACCUCGCACCGGAAACGCGGAGGCGGUCACGCCGUAAAACAACUCUCCUCCUGGAAGUUGACCUCGGAUCAGGUAGGGAUACCCGCUGAACUUAAGCAUAUCAAUAAGCGGAGGAAAAGAAACCAACAGGGAUUGCCCCAGUAACGGCGAGUGAAGCGGCAACAGCUCAAAUUUGAAAUCUGGCCCCCCCCGCGGGGCCCGAGUUGUAAUUUGCAGAGGAUGCUUUUGGCGCGGCGCCUUCCGAGUUCCCUGGAACGGGACGCCAUAGAGGGUGAGAGCCCCGUCUGGUCGGACGCCCAGCCUCUGUAAAGCUCCUUC